Non-coding RNA from Lepisosteus oculatus (spotted gar), 1461 nucleotides. NCBI's taxonomy places the organism in Eukaryota, Metazoa, Chordata, Actinopteri, Semionotiformes, Lepisosteidae. The record is from RefSeq and is a predicted model, not a curated record.
ACUCCUGUCUCCUGCCUCAGUCCAGAGGCUGCCAGUGGGAAGAUGGGUAUGAAAGGUGUUGGGAUUGACAUUGGACUGUAUUUUCCUUAAAUUUCCAUGCUGGCCAGAGGCUGAUAGUGGGAAGACGGGUAUGUAUGAAGAUUGAACCCUCUCCUGUACUCUUGUUCCCUAACUUUCCAGGAUGUUCUGAGGAAUACUGUGGGAAGACUGGUAUAGAUUGGGGGUUGGAUGCUAUCUACUGUUUCUUUUCCCUAAUUUUCCAGGAUGUCCAGAAAAAUCAGUGGGAACACCAGUGUGGAUGAAGCGUUGGGAUGGAGGUUGACACUCUGUCCUGUGUUCAUUUCUGUAGUUUUCCAGGAUGUCCUGAGGCUGCCAGUGGGAAGAUGGUAUGGAUGAGGAGUUGGGAUAGAGGCUGGCCAGGGGCAGAUAGUGGGAAGACAGGUAUGGCUGGGAGUUGGGAUGGAGAAACCUGUGUGCUCAUCUGUCACCUCGAGUGUACUCAACAUAAGGGGUACUUUUUCCAGUGUUAUUAAUACUGAAGCCUCUGUUCUGAACUCUCAUCUCCACUGAACUGUAAUGUGUGGUAAUACUUAAACCUGUAAACUUAACUCUUACUGUGCUUCAAUACUUCAAUCUGUGUCGUCAGGUCUCACCUGGACUGUACUGAAAUACUUAAACCAGGGAGGUGAGCUUGUACUGAGCUUUACUAUUCAGUGACGUGUAUACUGAGCCUUCAUCUGUAGUGUAUUUCAAUACUCAAAUCUGUGUGCUACACUCUUACCUCUACUGAGUUUCAGUACUCAAAGACACACCUGUGUGCUUUACCCUCACCUUUGCUGUACUGUAAUAGUAAACCCAGUGUGCUGAUCCCUAACUUGUAAGUGAGUUUUAAUACUCAGUGACAUGCAUGCUAAACCUUCACAUGCAGUGUAUUUUAAUACUCAAAUCUGUGUGCCGGACUGUCAGCUGUACAAUACUCAGCCCUGUGUGAUGAACUGUAACCUGUAUUGUAAUACUCAUAUGUGAAUUGGUAUUAUUUUGCAGUGCUCAGACGUGUGUACUGAACUCUCACCUGUACUGAGCUUUAAUACUUAAACCAGCAUGCUGAACUCACAUGGAGCGAUCUGUACUAUUCAGUGACGUCUAUGCUCAACCUUCAUCUAUAGUGGACUUUAAUACUGGAAUGUGUGUGCUACACUCUUACCUUGACUGAGAUUCAAUACUCAAUGACACACCUGUGUGCUUUACUCUCACCUUUUAAAAAAAAUAAAUAAUUCUCAGAUCUGUGUUCAGCUCUCACUUGGACUGUACUAAAAUACUUAAUCUAGUGUGCUGAUCUCUUGUUCAAACUGAACUUUAAUUCUCAGUGCUACAACCAUUUCUUAAACCUGUGCUCACAGUGUAUUUGAAUACUCAGGUCUCAGUGUUGAAAUGAACUGUCCUAUUGUCAGAGUCAGCCCU